GGNGGAGCUAUACAUGCAAGUCGUACGAGCUCUACCAAAUUGAUUUUAUGCUUGCAUAAAUGAUUUUUGGAUUCGGAGCGAGUGGCGAACUGGUGAGUAACACGUGGGUAACCUGCCCCAAAGCGGGGGAUAACAUUUGGAAACAAGUGCUAAUACCGCAUAAUUAGUUGGAACCGCAUGGUUCCAACUUGAAAGAUGGCUCUGCUAUCACUUUGGGAUGGACCCGCGCCGUAUUAGUUAGUUGGUGAGAUAAAAGCCCACCAAGACGAUGAUACGUAGCCGACCUGAGAGGGUAAUCGGCCACAUUGGGACUGAGACACGGCCCAGACUCCUACGGGAGGCAGCAGUAGGGAAUCUUCCACAAUGGACGAAAGUCUGAUGGAGCAACGCCGCGUGAGUGAUGAAGGUUUUCGGAUCGUAAAACUCUGUUGUUAAAGAAGAACAAGUGUUAGAGUAACUGUUAACACUUUGACGGUAUUUAACCAGAAAGCCACGGCUAACUACGUGCCAGCAGCCGCGGUAAUACGUAGGUGGCAAGCGUUGUCCGGAUUUAUUGGGCGUAAAGCGAGCGCAGGCGGUUUUGUAAGUCUGCUGUGAAAGCCCUCAGCUUAACUGAGGAAGUGCAGUGGAAACUACAAAACUUGAGUACAGAAGAGGAAAGUGGAACUCCAUGUGUAGCGGUGAAAUGCGUAGAUAUAUGGAAGAACACCAGUGGCGAAGGCGGCUUUCUGGUCUGUUACUGACGCUGAGGCUCGAAAGCAUGGGUAGCGAACAGGAUUAGAUACCCUGGUAGUCCAUGCCGUAAACGAUGAAUACUAGGUGUUGGAGGGUUUCCGCCCUUCAGUGCCGCAGCUAACGCAUUAAGUAUUCCGCCUGGGGAGUACGACCGCAAGGUUGAAACUCAAAGGAAUUGACGGGGGCCCGCACAAGUGGUGGAGCAUGUGGUUUAAUUCGAUGCUACGCGAAGAACCUUACCAGCUCUUGACAUCUUCUGCCAACCCAAGAGAUUGGGCGUUCCCUUCGGGGACAGAAUGACAGGGGGGUGCAUGGUUGUCGUCAGCCCCGUGUCGGUGAGAAAUGUUGGGUUAAGUCCCGCCAACACGGAGGCGGCAACCCCC
This 1118-nucleotide ribosomal RNA is filed under the name Apilactobacillus kunkeei. Its description in RNAcentral is "bacterial SSU rRNA". It matches the Rfam family "Bacterial small subunit ribosomal RNA", at positions 41 to 1106 of the family's 1533-position model. The record is from RNAcentral. Lineage: Bacteria; Bacillati; Bacillota; Bacilli; Lactobacillales; Lactobacillaceae.